GACGAACCGUGCGAACGUUGUUCGGAAUCACUGGGCUUAAAGGGCGCGUAGGCGGGCCGCAUAGCCAAGGGUGAAAUCCUCCGGCUCAACCGGAGAAGGGCCUUUGGAACUGGCGGCCUCGAGGGAUGCAGGGGCGUGCGGAACUUCGGGUGGAGCGGUGAAAUGCGUAGAUAUCCGAAGGAACACCGGUGGCGAAGGCGGCACGCUGGACAUCUUCUGACGCUGAGGCGCGAAAGCCAGGGGAGCAAACGGG
This 253-nucleotide ribosomal RNA is filed under the name uncultured bacterium. RNAcentral's name for it is "partial 16S ribosomal RNA". It matches the Rfam family "Bacterial small subunit ribosomal RNA", at positions 524 to 776 of the family's 1533-position model. The record is from RNAcentral.